Molecule: ribosomal RNA, 559 nt
Filed under: uncultured bacterium
Lineage: Bacteria
Description: partial 16S ribosomal RNA
Rfam family: Bacterial small subunit ribosomal RNA
Source: RNAcentral
UGGGGAAUUUUGGACAAUGGGCGCAAGCCUGAUCCAGCCAUGCCGCGUGCGGGAAGAAGGCCUUCGGGUUGUAAACCGCUUUUGUCAGGGAAGAAAUCUUCUGAGUUAAUACCUCGGGAGGAUGACGGUACCUGAAGAAUAAGCACCGGCUAACUACGUGCCAGCAGCCGCGGUAAUACGUAGGGUGCAAGCGUUAAUCGGAAUUACUGGGCGUAAAGCGUGCGCAGGCGGUUUUGUAAGACAGAGGUGAAAUCCCCGGGCUCAACCUGGGAACUGCCUUUGUGACUGCAAGGCUUGAGUGCGGCAGAGGGGGAUGGAAUUCCGCGUGUAGCAGUGAAAUGCGUAGAUAUGCGGAGGAACACCGAUGGCGAAGGCAAUUCCCCUGGGCCUGCACUGACGCUCAUGCACGAAAGCGUGGGGAGCAAACAGGAUUAGAUACCCUGGUAGUCCACGCCCUAAACGAUGUCAACUGGUUGUUGGGAAGGUUCCUUCUCAGUAACGUAGCUAACGCGUGAAGUUGACCGCCUGGGGAGUACGGCCGCAAGGUUGAAAGCUUAAA